RNAcentral lists this transfer RNA (73 nucleotides) under Stegodyphus mimosarum. It matches the Rfam family "tRNA". Rfam says of the family: Transfer RNA (tRNA) molecules are approximately 80 nucleotides in length. Their secondary structure includes four short double-helical elements and three loops (D, anti-codon, and T loops). Further hydrogen bonds mediate the characteristic L-shaped molecular structure. tRNAs have two regions of fundamental functional importance: the anti-codon, which is responsible for specific mRNA codon recognition, and the 3' end, to which the tRNAs corresponding amino acid is attached (by aminoacyl-tRNA synthetases). tRNAs cope with the degeneracy of the genetic code in two manners: having more than one tRNA (with a specific anti-codon) for a particular amino acid; and 'wobble' base-pairing, i.e. permitting non-standard base-pairing at the 3rd anti-codon position. Lineage: Eukaryota; Metazoa; Arthropoda; Arachnida; Araneae; Eresidae. The record is from Rfam by way of RNAcentral.
GCUUUCGUGGGGCAAUGGUCAGCGCACUCGACGCGUAAUCGAGAGAUCCGAGGUUCGAGUCCCGGUGAGGGCA